AAAGUGUGGGGAGCAAACAGGAUUAGAUACCCUGGUAGUCCACACUGUAAACGAUGAAUGCUAGGUGUAGGGGGUAUCGACCCCUUCUGUGCCGGAGUAAACACAAUAAGCAUUCCGCCUGGGGAGUACGGUCGCAAGAUUAAAACUCAAAGGAAUUGACGGGGGCCCGCACAAGCAGCGGAGCAUGUGGUUUAAUUCGAAGCAACGCGAAGAACCUUACCAGGUCUUGACAUCCAGGUAAAGCUUAAGAGAUUAGGUGUGCCUUCGGGCAAUCUGAGACAGGUGGUGCAUGGUUGUCGUCAGCUCGUGUCGUGAGAUGUUGGGUUAAGUCCCGCAACGAGCGCAACCCUUGCUGAUAGUUACUAACGCGUAGAGGCGAGGACUCUAUCGGGACCGCCGGGGACAACUCGGAGGAAGGUGGGGACGACGUCAAAUCAUCAUGCCCCUUAUGACCUGGGCUACACACGUGCUACAAUGGCCGAGACAGAGAGGAGCGAAGGCGCGAGCCGGAGCGGAUCUCAAAAAGGCGGCCACAGUUCGGAUUGUGGGCUGCAACCCGCCCACAUGAAGCCGGAGUUGCUAGUAAUCGCGAAUCAGCAUGUCGCGGUGAAUACGUUCCCGGGCCUUGUACACACCGCCCGUCACACCAUGGGAGUUGGGAGCACCCGAAGGCAGAGAGGUAACCGUGAGGAGCCAUCUGACGAAGGUGAGAUCAAUGACUGGGGUGAAGUCGUAACAAGGUAACCGUAAAGGG
RNAcentral lists this ribosomal RNA (754 nucleotides) under uncultured bacterium. RNAcentral describes it as "bacterial SSU rRNA". It matches the Rfam family "Bacterial small subunit ribosomal RNA", at positions 756 to 1509 of the family's 1533-position model. The record is from RNAcentral.